UGUAUGUACAAGUGUGCAUGUUAAUAUCGUUGAACUCUCAUUUCUAUUCCGUUUUUCUAUUUCAGGAGGAUUAUUAGAUAAACAUGAAAUUUGGAGCCUAGAUGUUCAGUAUAACACUUGGUGGAGCAGUUACUUGAAGAUGAUUUUGAUUCAUAUCAUUCAACGCAUCUAUUUCAAUCUUGAUAUCACAUACAUAAUAGACUAUAAUACUUAUUUGAGCAGAGAACUUGAUCCUUUCCACCAAAUAUUUCCUCUUGCUCUUCAUUUUGGUUAGGCAUUAGUAGACCCUGAGGACUUAAUUCCUCAAAACUUGAAAAAACUGUUAUCUAUUGUGGGAGGGCCUUUUUGUAUAGCCAAGCUAAUUCAAUCUUUCUUGCUGCAGAAACUGGGAACUGAUGGCACCAUGGACAGGACUGCAAAUCAAUGUACCAGUUAAAUUCAUCGUGGGGGACCUGGACGUUACCUAUCACAUCCCUGGUGUUAAGGAAUAUAUACACAAUGGUGGCUUCAAGAAGGAUGUGCCUUCCUUGCAGGAAGUAGUUGUCAUGGAAGGAGUAGCACACUUUCUCAACCAAGAAAAACCCGAGGAGAUUAGCACACACAUUUAUGACUUCAUUAAGAAAUUCUGAUUUAAUUUCUACUUUGGUACGUGAUUUACCUUGAAGUUCUGACUCUAAAAUAACGAAUCACCCGCUUAAUUGUAUUUGAUGCUUUCCUUGUUUUCUUUGUACUGGUGGAAUUAGUAUUGAUGCAGUGCAGAGUGCUUUGUCGACGCUUAUGGGACUCAAAGUUGGUUCUGGUUACAUAUAGGUAACCUGGGGAGAAUAUAGAGGCUGAGGUAAAGGUCAAGCAAAUAAGUCAGGCCUAGUCGAAUAUAGUUAGAUGUUGAGUUCAUUUGUCUGACGAACUUAAGCUUUUAAUAAUCUUCAUCAAGCAACUUAUUUCCAAUUGAGACACUAUUUAACAUUACAAGGUUAAAUAUGAAUUAGAUUCACAGUUUGCUACUAGUUUCAGCUAUCUCUUUUAUCGUAAUGAACUAGAACUCAGUUAUGCGCGAGCAACCUGUUUCAUUUAUUAGGUAAUAACUGAUUAGGUGUAGGAAUUGCUUAGGCUGUCACCUGUAUACUACAACAGCAUCCAUUAUCGCCAGAGCAUAAAAUCUCAAAUUUGUUCCCAUUUCAACGAUACAACGCUUCACAUAACUGCUAUUGACUACAAAUUAUUCAGAUCUUAAAAGUCCCACUCAGUGCCGUGUAUUUUUAAUCUAAACAAUCUACAUUCUCAGUUUUCUGCAAAGGUCUUUCAUGAAACAUACCUUUAUGAAGCUAAGAAAGUCUUGGACUUAAAUCCAGAAGAUAGGGGAAUAAUAGCUACAUUUUAUUUACAAGAAGACACGUAACAAUUAACAUGCCGGGUCUAGCCAAAAUAUCAAGUCUCACUUAAGAUGGUUAACCAAUGAUGACAUUAAGAACAAAACAACUUGAAAAAGACUUGCGAAACAUCUAGAUUCCAAGGGCAAACAAUGCGAUGCCGAAUGCUGAUGGACGUAUCAGCUAAUCCUUGCAUGAUUCGGUAUGGAACAACAUUAAUCUCUUUGAUAUUUAAUUCUGCAAUGGCUAGUGGCAACCCGUAAAUCCUCCAUGGAGAUCCAAACAAAAAACAUGUUCAAUCACUCUAAAAUUUCCUUGAUAAACAAAACUACAAAAGAUUCCCAACUAUAUUAAUGUUCCAUGGAAGAGAGAAAACAGGAAAGAAGAAAAAAAAACUGAAAAUCCUCAUUUUCACGAUGAUAGCUUGAUAAGUAAUUUUCUUCCAGGACAGUUGCAAACUCAAACCCUGAAGCCUUUGCUGUUCCUUCCUCCUCUAGCCUUCUCAAAUUUCCUUCCCUUUGACCGCACAUAGGGCUUGGUGUGACUGUGAGGCACACCAGGAGCUGGUCCAAAGUGCUUCACAGCCUCACAAGCAUUCUUUGGACCUCGGAGGGGAACGUGCAGAUUAAGAUUUUCAGCAUAGAAUUUGAGUCAAUUUUCACCAUUCCACAAUGUUGAUCAGCUAUUCCUUUUGUCAAACCCCUAAUCAUAACGUCAACAUAAAGAGAAAAAGGGGAAUGAUAUGUAAGAUGAUUAUUCUUCAACAUAUGAAAGCUGUUGUGGUUUGUUUUAUUCUUCUACAUAUUCGUGCUUGUUGCCAACUCGGACGAAAGUUGAUUGGACUUAAACCAUAAUAAAAGGAGUUAAAAACUUUUCUAUCACUUGCCACAAAUUUAGUUUUGUCAAAAUGAACUAAUUCUUUGAUGAGAAAACUCCAAUUUAAUUUAAACGCAUGGUUGUUAAUUUUAAAAAUAUUGAAAAGUUCAAUUAGUUUCUAUUCUUCACUCUCUUUCUUAUAUAGGUAUAUUCUUUGGGUUUUGCUGUCAAGUUUGAACAAUUAGUACAUUAAAGGUUAUUUAACACUUGAUUUGUAUUAAACACAUACAAUCAAAAUUAAUCAAAUUUUCUAAUCUAUUUUUAAUAUAUUUAUCAAACACAGUCACGAUAAGUUUUUUUAUUAUUAUUAUUAUUUUGAGUAAGGGUGUAAUUGAGUUAAGUCAAACCGAUACAAUGAGAGGCUUGAACUCGACCUCGAUUCUCAACUCGCGACUCAAUACUUGGUUUGAACUCUAUCGAUUUUUAUUUUUUUAGCUCAAGCUUGAUUUGUGAUCGAAAUCGAGCUAUUCAAUUAAGCUCGAUUAAUAUGUAAAAAUAAGUUUGAUUCUUAUAUUCAACAAGAGCUUGAUUAUUUGUGCUCGAACUUGAGUUCGAAUUUGAGAUAUUUUAUUAAUUAAAAUAAUAAAAAAAUUUAAAUAUAAAAAUUCGAUUAGACUCGCGAGUUACUCGAAUUUGAUAUAAAAAUAUUUAAAUUUGACUCGAUCAAUGAAUUGAGUUACUUGAGUUUAAACUCGAUUCGAUAUCGAGUUGAAUUCAAAUUUUAUUCGAAUUGAACUCGAGUAAUUUAUGAAAAUUAAUAUAUCAUUUAUAUCUCUAAUUUUGAGGAUAUUUGAGUUACUGAAGGAAAGUAUACCAACCAAAGACAAGUUAGUUAAUACCGCUGGCCUUCUUAGCUCAGCCUACUCAUUAACUCUAAUCUAUUUUCUGGUGUAGCUAGGCCUGGUUUAUGAUAUCGGAGGAUCCACGAAGACGACCCAAAACUGUGCCAAUCAAUUGCUGUUGGACCCUAUAGACCCAAACAUGGUUCAUUAGCUAUCCUAAAUUAAAUUACCUUUUUUUAACAAAAAUUAUAAAAAAAAAAGGGGAAUGGGGCGCAUAGAAAGAACAUGUUCAACUGACAAUUAGACGUUCAAUUAAAGAGAAAAUGAUAUCUACAUAUAAAACAUAAUAACAAAUCCCCAACUAAAAUAUCAAUCCAAAAAGCUGAAGUAGUCAAAUACAAAUGACAUUUUCUUGCCCAAUUAUUCAAAAGAAAGAAGAAAACAUUCAUCUUUCUUCCGACUACUCUUAAAAUUAUAAUGAUAUAGGCAUUUUAUUUUUUUUAUAUAUAUUUAAAAUUAUCAAAAUUAAAUUUUAAUAAAUAAAGUUUAAUUAUGAACUUUAAUCUCACCAUUAACUAUUAUUAAAUCCAUCCCUGAGUUGAAUGAAAAGAUAAUGAUGCUUGAAUAUAAAAGCCUUUAAAAGAGUUAGACUCUUAAAUAUUGAAUUGAAUUUCUCACUCACAUUUUUAUUUUUUUAUAAUACAAGAAAAAAUGGUCCCUGAAUUUAAGCCAAAAAAAACAACCAAUUUUCCAAUGACAUAGCCUUUUAAAGUGUCGAGAUUUUAUGGCACAUCAAUUCCUUACCUUUCUUAUAUAAUACCAGAACACAAGUCUAAUUUCACCUCUAAUCUCAGCAUCAGCAUGUUAUUGUUUAGAAUUUACAUAAUUUUUUUUUAUAAAUGUUUCAAUUGAGGAUUGAAGAAACAAAGACUGAAAUAAAAAGAAAAACAGGUUAAAAAAAUCAGUCUAAAAUUUAUACUCAACUGUUAGUAUUUAAGUUUUAAAACUAAUAUCAUUGUACUAAUUUUAAAUAACUAUUGUUAAUUCUAUUCAAAUGUACAUAUUUCAAACAAUAAUUAUUAGAUAAAAGAGCUUACUAUUAUUGUUUCAUUAAAGCCUUUAAAAACACAUUAAUGGUUAAAUUUGAAUAUUAUAAUAAUAUUAUUUAAAAGUAAUAAAAUAUAAUAAAACAUAAAAAUUAUUUUAUAUUUAAAAUUUUUAAUUUUUCAUUUAUUUUCUAUUUAUUCUAAUCUGAAGUAAUUAAAAAUGAAAGCUUUAGAAAAAAAAAAGGAAAAUAUACUCUAUUUCCUUUUAUUUCUUUUAUUAAUAUGUAAAUGAUAAACCAAACAGAAAUAAAAUUUCCUUAUUUUCCGUACUUUCCUUUUUCUCACAUCCCCUCGAUUCACAUUGGUAUUUCGUUGCGAACACUCAACAGUAUCAAAUUUUGGAUUUUCCUUCUUCUUUUGGUAUCUUUUAUUUGCUUGGUUUUUCUACCUAAGUUUCUGAUUCAGCUUGCCUUUUUCUGCGUAUUUUGGUUCCACCCCUAAGUCCAAACCAAAAAUGACAGGCAACCCAACGUAGAAUAUCUUUAAGAAAAUUCUGUUUCAUAAACAGACAAGACUUUAUAUUUAAGACCAAUGCUAUACCCCAUACGGGAAACGGCCAAACUCGGGGAACUCUCACUACAAAAAAUUUGUCUGAAAGCGAACAUGGAGAAGAUAGAGCACACCAUCGUGACCACCAACGGCAUAAAGAUGCACGUGGCAUCCGUUGGUUCAGGUCCUGUUAUCCUUUUCUUGCACGGCUUUCCUGAGCUUUGGUACUCCUGGCGCCACCAGCUUCUUUCCCUGUCAUGCCUUGGGUAUCGUUGCAUGGCUCCCGAUCUUCGUGGGUUCGGUGACACCGAUUCUCCGCCCUCGGCGGAUUCAUACACCAUAUUCCACAUCGUGGGGGAUCUCGUAGGCCUCCUCGACUCGCUCGACAUUGACCGCGUGUUUUUGGUGGGACAUGAUUGGGGUGCGGUGAUUGCUUGGUAUUUUUGCCAGUUUCGGCCUGAUAGAGUCAAAUGUUUGGUCAACAUGAGCGUGGCGUAUCAGCCUAGGCACCCCAAGGUGAAGACCGUGGAAGGGUUCAGGGCUUUGUUUGGUGACGAUUAUUAUAUUUGCAGGUUCCAGGUAAUUUAUUCAGCCACAUGAUUUUGAGUUACUUUCAUGGUUUCUCUUCUCUGUUCAGAAUUGUCAUUCGGAAUAACGAUUUUAUUGGAUAAAACUGCAUCUGGGUUUAAGAAAAUUUAGUCGUUUAAUGAUCGUUAGAUUAGUUGGGUGACUAUAUAUUUGCAUUGUUGAACUUUCUACUUGCAAGUAGUUCUGAAGCCAUUAUCACAAACUACAAUUAUCCAUUUCCCCUCUCGUCUUUUUUUUUUUGUUUUAAAAAAAUCCUUUGACUAGAGCGAGAAGAAAAUAAUUUGGUAAUACAUUGAUUGUUUUGCAUGAGAGAAUUGCUUGAAUUACUGGGGUUAUUGACUUUUCUGGUAGUUGAGUAGCAUCAAUUAUGUGAAUUUGGAAUAAUCGGGUUCCCCUAUCUGUUUUUGGUAAUGGACUUUCAGCAUUUAAGUUUCAUGCCUGAGCGGCUCCACUUAUUUUUGUCUUGGAUUAUGGGCCUCGUCUUAACUUUUAAGAUAACAAAAUCCAGUGUCCCACUCCCACAACGACUAAUAUAUAAGAAGAGAAACUCGGGUAGUGGGUUGACUUUUGAAUUGGUGAUUUCUACAUACUCAUAUUUUCCAUUCGAAACUUUUUUGUGCGGACAAAUGGUUUCUUUGAGGUGUGAUUAAUGAAGGAAGCUAUAGUCAUCUCUGCUGGAUCCAGAAACAAGAUUAUAGUGAAGCUUAGACUAUUGUCCGCUGUCCAGUUUACCUCAACCGAGGAUAUGUCCCCACGAUUGUUUACAUGAUUGAGACCACAUUUAGUAUACAUAUUUUUCUUGUUACAGCGAAAGGAAUUGCUUGAUACUCUGAUGUUUACAUUUCUUCUUUUCUAUUAUCUGAAGUCCUCAUAUCUAUUCAAUUUUAUUUUCAUUGUAUGUAUUCUUCAUUAUGCUAUAGGAGCCUGGGGUGAUCGAAGAAGACUUUGCUCAGAUGGAUACUGCAAAGCUUAUGAAGAAAAUUCUUACAUCUCGCUGUCCACGUCCACCUUGUAUACCUAAAGAAAUAGGGGUCAGAGGGUUGCCUGAUCCUCCAGCCUUGCCCUCUUGGCUUUCAGAAGAAGACAUCAAUUACUUUGCUAGCAAAUUUAAUGAGAAGGGAUUCACUGGAGGACUUAACUAUUAUCGAGCUUUAGAUCUGUAUGUACAAGUGUGCAUGUUAAUGUUGUUGAACUCUCAUUUCUAUUCCAUUUUUCUAUUUCAGGAGGAUUAUUAGAUAAACAUGAAAUUUGGAGCCUAGAUGUUCAGUAUAACACUUGGUGGAGCAGUUACUUGAAGAUGAUUUUGAUUCGUAUCAUUCAACACAUCUAGUUUCAAUCUUGAUAUCACAUACAUAACAGACUAUAAUACUCAUUUGAGCAGAGAACUUGAUACUUUCCACCAAAUAUUUCCCCUCGCUCUUCAUUUUGGUUAGGCAUUAGUAGACCCUGAGGACUUAAUUCCUCAAAAACUUGAAAAAACUGUAUUAAUUGUGGGAGGGCUUUUUUGUAUAGCCAAGCUAAUUCAAUCUUUCUUGUUGCAGAAGUUGGGAACUGAUGGCACCAUGGACUGGAUUACAAAUCAAUGUACCAGUUAAAUUCAUCGUGGGGGACCUGGACAUUACCUAUCACAUCCCUGGUGUCAAGGAAUAUAUACACAAUGGUGGCUUCAAGAAAGAUGUGCCUUUCUUGCAGGAAGUAGUUGUCAUGGAAGGAGUAGCACACUUUCUCAACCAAGAAAAACCUGAGGAGAUUAGCACACACAUUUAUGACUUCAUUAAGAAAUUCUGAUUAAUGUCUACUUUGGAAUGUGAUUUACCUUGAAGUUCUGACUCUAAAAUAACGAAUAAGAGGAUGCGAUGCACCUGCUUAAUUGUAUUUUUUGCUUUCCUUGUUUUCUUCCUACUGGUGGAAUUAGUAUUGAUGCAGUGCAGACUGCUUUGUUUAUCUUUAUGGAACUCGGGU
RNAcentral lists this long non-coding RNA (7173 nucleotides) under Durio zibethinus. Its description in RNAcentral is "long non-coding RNA (DZIB_LNC000518)". Lineage: Eukaryota; Viridiplantae; Streptophyta; Magnoliopsida; Malvales; Malvaceae. The record is from RNAcentral.